Eufriesea mexicana is the source of this 535-nucleotide long non-coding RNA. RefSeq lists it as uncharacterized. Lineage: Eukaryota; Metazoa; Arthropoda; Insecta; Hymenoptera; Apidae. The record is from RefSeq and is a predicted model, not a curated record. The transcript has 3 exons.
ACUUUCUCUAUCACGAAAAGUGACGGGAGUCGUCACAGUAUUUCGAAGCUCGUCGAAGCUACAUGACGCCAUCUUCACUUUGAGAAGGAUUUCACUCUUCAGUGGUGGUGUACUUUAAUAGGGGAACAAUCAACACGUGUGUCUUGUUAUUCCUAAGAUAAAUAUGCGAAGAAAAUUGCUCGAUGUCGGAGAUAAAGAAGAUACUGACCCAUUUAAGACAUUGUACCCACAUUUCCAGUCUCUGUGCUACAAGUGAAGCAAUGAAAAUUCUGGAGGCUUUAGAAGAUUCAUUUCUUAUACACAAACGAAUUAUGCGGCAGUGCUAUUUAUGAAACCGACAAAGUUACACGAGACAUAUUGGGUCAUAUUGUUGGUCGAUCUGGCGGUAGGAAAUUGAAAAUUGAAACAUCGAAACAGUAUGCUAAAUGUAACUGAAUUCGGAUAUUUGAAAGAGCAUUUGAUCUGCACGACAUUUGUUGCACAAGCACGAGAUUUAUUUCGAAUGGAAAAUGAUUUAUAGCAAUGUCUUCCUGUA